AGGCAAACGGAGAGGACCGUAUGGUCCGCCCGUCGGAUUCAGUCCGCCUGCCCGGCGGAGUCGUCGGUCGCGCAUCUCUCUCGGGAGCGCGUCGGCGAUUCGUACGUCGGGCGGCGGCCGUACUUUCGGCGGGCGGAGCGCCUCGACCGGUUCGCGGGCGGCGAGAAACUCCCCGGCAAGGUGACCGUCGCUUCGGCGUCGGAGCAUACAGGCCGGGUGAGCGUCGGCCCGUCUGCGGACCGAGGUAGACCGUCGCGGCGUCGCGUCGACCGCCGGUCGUGCUUGUGCGUUCGACUCGGGGGGACUGUUUUCAGUGCCCUCGGACCGCGUGCUCGUACCGUCCGGACGGCCCGGCGCGGCGCUUGGGGUCAGAGGCGAAACGGCCGGCAACCUGUCCGACCCGUCUUGAAACACGGACCAAGGAGUCUAACAUGUGCGCGAGUCGUUGGGCGCUACGAAACCCGAAGGCGCAAUGAAAGUGAAGGCCCGGUCUCGCACCGGCUUCGGUGGGAUCCGGGCGGUCUCGGCCGCUCGGCGCACCACCGGCCCGUCUCGAUCGUAACGUCGAUGAGGCGGAGCAAGAGCGUACACGUUGGGACCC
This 601-nucleotide ribosomal RNA is filed under the name Geogenia zaloumisi. Its description in RNAcentral is "eukaryotic LSU rRNA". The stretch from base 417 to 601 matches the Rfam family "Eukaryotic large subunit ribosomal RNA", at positions 665 to 817 of the family's 3401-position model. The record is from RNAcentral. Lineage: Eukaryota; Metazoa; Annelida; Clitellata; Crassiclitellata; Microchaetidae.